RNAcentral lists this ribosomal RNA (468 nucleotides) under uncultured bacterium. RNAcentral describes it as "bacterial SSU rRNA". It matches the Rfam family "Bacterial small subunit ribosomal RNA", at positions 355 to 825 of the family's 1533-position model. The record is from RNAcentral.
UAAGGAAUAUUGGUCAAUGGAGGCAACUCUGAACCAGCCAUGCCGCGUGCAGGAAGAAGGCCCUAUGGGUCGUAAACUGCUUUUGAACAAGAGAAAACCCCGGUACGUGUACUGGGUUGAUAGUAUUGUUAGAAUAAGCAUCGGCUAACUUCGUGCCAGCAGCCGCGGUAAGACGAAGGAUGCAAGCGUUAUCCGGAUUCAUUGGGUUUAAAGGGUGCGUAGGCGGACUGAUAAGUCAGUGGUGAAAUCUCUCGGCUUAACCGAGAAACUGCCAUUGAUACUGUUAGUCUAGAGUACAGAUGAUGUGGGCGGAAUAUGACAUGUAGUGGUGAAAUACUUAGAUAUGUCAUAGAACACCGAUUUGCGAAGGCAGCUCACAAAACUGUAACUGACGCUGAGGCACGAAAGUGCGGGGAUCAAACAGGAUUAGAUACCCACGUAGUCCCUGAGCGGGCUGGCAAGGCGCAU